CCAGAAAACAAGGGAGCUGCUUUGCAGGAGUUUCGAAAGAGAUGGUGUAGAAGACACACACACGUCUAAUUCCUUGCCUUGGCUGGAUAACACGGCUGCAAAAGGUUAGGACACAGCGAGAAGGUGGCUGUCUAUGUGCGAGGAAGAGAGCCCUAACUAGGAACCACAUCAGCUGGCACCUUGGUUUUGGACUUCCCAGCCUCAAGAUCUGUGAGAAAUAAAUAUCUGUUGUCUAAGACA
Herpailurus yagouaroundi (jaguarundi) is the source of this 240-nucleotide long non-coding RNA. RefSeq lists it as uncharacterized. The transcript has 2 exons. The record is from RefSeq and is a predicted model, not a curated record. NCBI's taxonomy places the organism in Eukaryota, Metazoa, Chordata, Mammalia, Carnivora, Felidae.